GUUAGUGUGGCAGAGAUAGGUUAUGCAAAAGGUCUAAGCCCUUUCAACUUGGGUUCAAAUCCCCUCGCUAACU
This 73-nucleotide transfer RNA is filed under the name Meristogenys sp. penrissen. RNAcentral describes it as "tRNA-Leu". It matches the Rfam family "tRNA". From Rfam's summary of the family: Transfer RNA (tRNA) molecules are approximately 80 nucleotides in length. Their secondary structure includes four short double-helical elements and three loops (D, anti-codon, and T loops). Further hydrogen bonds mediate the characteristic L-shaped molecular structure. tRNAs have two regions of fundamental functional importance: the anti-codon, which is responsible for specific mRNA codon recognition, and the 3' end, to which the tRNAs corresponding amino acid is attached (by aminoacyl-tRNA synthetases). tRNAs cope with the degeneracy of the genetic code in two manners: having more than one tRNA (with a specific anti-codon) for a particular amino acid; and 'wobble' base-pairing, i.e. permitting non-standard base-pairing at the 3rd anti-codon position. Lineage: Eukaryota; Metazoa; Chordata; Amphibia; Anura; Ranidae. The record is from RNAcentral.